GGCUAAUGUGUCAAUAGUGCCGCUAUUGGGAAACCUGCAGUUAAGCAUUUCUCCACAGUGCUCCUUUGUUUCAUAAAGAGAAGAGAAUGGAGCAGUUCAGACAUAGUAUUCCUAGAUACUAUCUCUGUAACCUUUGAGGCUCACUUCCUCAUUUGAAAUAUGAAGACUGCUGAAACAAUGAAAUGAGCUACUGUGAAAUAAG
Symphalangus syndactylus (siamang) is the source of this 202-nucleotide long non-coding RNA. RefSeq lists it as uncharacterized. The record is from RefSeq and is a predicted model, not a curated record. NCBI's taxonomy places the organism in Eukaryota, Metazoa, Chordata, Mammalia, Primates, Hylobatidae.